CGGAGUAUAGCGCAGCUUGGCUAGCGCGCUUCGUUCGGGACGAAGAGGUCGUGGGUUCGAAUCCCACUACUCCGA
RNAcentral lists this transfer RNA (75 nucleotides) under Parachlamydiaceae bacterium. It matches the Rfam family "tRNA". Rfam says of the family: Transfer RNA (tRNA) molecules are approximately 80 nucleotides in length. Lineage: Bacteria; Pseudomonadati; Chlamydiota; Chlamydiia; Parachlamydiales; Parachlamydiaceae. The record is from Rfam by way of RNAcentral.